Molecule: long non-coding RNA, 3026 nt
Organism: Columba livia (rock pigeon)
Lineage: Eukaryota; Metazoa; Chordata; Aves; Columbiformes; Columbidae
Exons: 2
Source: RefSeq, a predicted model, not a curated record
GCUUUGGCUCCUAGCCAGAUCCGCCAUCUGUCUCUUGCUCUCCCUCUCUCUCUCUCGCCUGAAUUUGUCCUACAUUUCGUAAUGUUACGUGCUUGCCAUCCUUAUUCUAUGUCAGAGGUACAGCACGAGCCUCACCCCUGUUCCGGUGUGGAGUUCUCUGAGUUCGGUAGCACUUUGGAUAUUCCACUUCAAUGCCAUGGGAAGAAAAGGAGUAUCUUCGUUUUCUUUAUUGGAUGCUGGCACUGUACGCCACUGUACAGCUCCGUGGAAUGCCUGCUGUUGGAUACUUGCAGAUCCCUGCCACCAAGCAACCUCCUGCAUUGGAAAUCGGGUGACUACUUCAGGAUCUUAUGCGUGCUUGCUGUUUGAAGCUGCAGAAAAGUGAAUAAUCAAUUAAGUAUUGAUUUCUUGUAAGAUUUGGUAAAUUUCAAAGGCAAGACAAAGAGGAUGGCUUAAGGAAAGCACUGCAGGGACUUGGCGUAAAUUAGACAACUAACAGCAGUGCAGAAUAAAAUAACACCUCAACUGAAUAUUUCCUUGGAAGAAUUAGCACUAGCUAUUGGAAGACGAUGGUGGAUUUAAUCAAGACGGCAGGCACGCUUGAGUUUUAACCGUGAACCUGAAAGAGGAGCUAAUUAUAACCACCUUUUUAUAUGGAGCUAAUUUGACUGAAUGGAUGCAAAUGUGCUUUAUUUAUGGAUGAAGAAGCAAGCCUUACAGCAUUGACUUUGGGAUCAUCGCAUAUGCUAAGCUUUACAGCUUCUCUAAAAGUCAAGACUACAGUACAUUUUUAUUUACUGAGAAGGUAUUUAUAUGUAAGCAUAAGCUAUCCGUACAAAAGAUUCAUCAGAACAAUGUACUGUGGCACUGAGGAUCUAAUUAUAAUUUUGCAGCAUUUCAUGUUUUCUCUAAUUUGGUUCUUUUCAACCCUUGCUUGUGAUGGGUUAUAAAUGGGACAAUAAAUGUAUGAUUUAAACUAUUGUGAUUUUGAUUGUGUAGUUUAUUAAUCGUACCGUAGUUUUCUUAACGUGUUUCUGAAUUAUUCAGCAGUAAUUUAUAAUGAAAGAAGCAGAACUGGUGGGGUGGUUUUAAAUUCAUUUUUAAUCUUCUUACAGAUCUAAAUGUACAGGUUCUACCAGCCGAUGAGCUCUAUAAUUACAAAAGAAUGUUGAAAUUUUCAGAUAAAUGGGGCACUGACUUUACAAUGGGCAAAAUAUUGUACAAUCAGUAAAAGAAGGAUUGUUAUAUUUUGACUCUGUGGAGACUUGUCUUGGUUAGUUAACUCCUUCUCUGCUGAUAAUGGUAAGCAAAUGUACUUUAUAUGAGAAAAUGGGGGAGAACCUGAUAUAUUAGUUAGAUAUUUUGCUAGUCUGAAACCUUAACAUUUUUUUUUUUCAAUUGGUUCCAUUUCUGUUACUUUUCCCUAUUUGCUUCUCUGGGUUUAGUCGUUUGGCUGUUUUUGUUGUUUUUUUUUCCUCCUGUCUUGCAAUCUACAUUCCCUGAGCAACCACAGGAACCAAGUUACAUUAAGCUUCAACACAAAGACGAUGUAAGAAUAAUGAAUCCUCAUUUGCAUCGACAUUUGUAUUCAGAUUUGCCAGGCUAUAAACUUGGCAGAUCAAGCGGAAUAUUAAGUAGCAGCUUCCAUAGUAAACUGCUACUCUUGCAACUGCUGAGUCGUUUUUCCUAUUUUUGUGUGUGCAUAUGUGUGUGUGUGCACAUGUGUACAUGUGUGUGUACCUGUGUACAUGUGUGCAUAUCUGUAAUAGCAGGUAAAGUCUCAUGACUACUUGAUUUCUGAGAAGUACAUUGGCCCUCUUUCUCUUUCAGUAUAUGAUGUCAGUUUAUGCAGAAUAUAACAGGAAUACACUGGCAAUAAGGAUUUUAGCUGAAGAUAUAGUGUGACAUAUGACUAAAGCAUUAACUCCCGUGUCUAGAGACCGUGUGGAAGAAUUCUUUAAGCAAAUAGAUAAACACUAUUGCUAAAGUAAACAGAUCUUCUACAUUAACUGGAGGUUUGAUUUCACUGCAAGUAGAGUACAAAGCAUGAGCUGUGAAAUAGCACUAAAUCUAUCUGCUGCAUAAUGUGACACACUGUUUAAUUUGUGAUGGAGUUAAUAUAUGCAUGCAUGUUUCCAUUAAAAACUUGAGCCUUGGUAUGUGUACCAUCAGGUGCUCUCCACUUUGGUUUGGUUAGACUGUCUUGAGCUUUACAGUAGUAUUUGUGAGAGCAAAGCUGGUCCUUCUCUUCCAGGCUUGGACACUGGAUCUUUUACUUCACUGACACUUGCUGAAGAAGAGGUGCUCCUAGCUACACAUUUCCCCAAGAAUCCCUCCCUUUUCUUUCUGUGUAGUCUUUUUCAGAAUGAAUAAUUGCAAAAGUGGAAGAUUUACCUUAUCAUUCUCCUUUUCAACUUUGUGUUAUUGGAAGUAAUUUAUGCACAAACCUUGGAAAUUUUAAUUUAUCCAUGACAUGUAUGAUAUUAUUUCAGAAACAGUGAAACAGUGCUCAGUCAACAAGUGCUAAAAAUUCUCCAAGACUUGCAUUUGCUACCCAUAGAUUUUAAAAUAGCUGUCCUGGGACUCAGGAGAAGUCGAGAGUGUCACUGAAUUAAGAGGUGCAGGAAAUGAUCAGGCAUGCAGGAAAUGCUUCCAGUGCUUUCUUUUUGUACAUAGCUACUCCUUACCACACACAUUAACAUAAAUCUAGCAAAAAGAAUGCCACUAUAGUCUAUAGCAUGUGUUUUUAUAAUUCUUUAUAACAGCCUUCUAUAUUAAAGAGGUACUGUGACAGAGAAAAAUCCUGGAGUUUUUUCUAGUCAUUCAUAAACAAUUUGCGGCACUGAAUUUAAAAACUUAAUCUGUGGCUGGUUAUUUAGCUUAAUCCAUUGAAAAGCAAGAGCAAUGCAAUGUCUAAACCUGUUGUAAACAAUAUUGUGCUGUAUAAUUAUAGUCUAUAAUUUCAGCUGGGAAAGUCAUAUCAGCUUUGUUUUCUGUAAAAAUAAAUGACACCCAAAUACUGUUUA